AAUUAUGGUGGGCUGGGCAAGGCAGCUUUAUGCUGGCCGUAUCCUUGGAAGCGGUAGUCUCAACCUUGCUCAGUUCACCACCCAU
This 85-nucleotide non-coding RNA is filed under the name Vibrio crassostreae. The record is from RNAcentral. Lineage: Bacteria; Pseudomonadati; Pseudomonadota; Gammaproteobacteria; Vibrionales; Vibrionaceae.